ACGGAGCGACGCCGCGUGCGGGACGAAGGCCCUUGGGUUGUAAACCGCUGUCAGAGGGGAUGAAAUGCAGACGGGUUCUCCCGCCUGUUUGACAGAGCCUCAGAGGAAGCACGGGCUAAGUACGUGCCAGCAGCCGCGGUAACACGUACUGUGCGAACGUUAUUCGGAAUCACUGGGCUUAAAGGGUGCGUAGGCGGCUUGUCAAGUCGGGUGUGAAAUCCCACGGCUCAACCGUGGAACUGCGCUCGAAACUGACAGGCUUGAGUAUCCCAGGGGUGUGCGGAACUUCCAGUGGAGCGGUGAAAUGUGUUGAUAUUGGAAGGAACACCAGUAGCGAAGGCGGCACACUGGGGGAUAACUGACGCUGAGGCACGAAAGCCAGGGUAGCGAACGGGAUUAGAUACCCCGGUAGUCCUGGCUGUAAACGAUAAGCACUANUUUGGGAGGAGGUUCGCCUUUUUCNCNACGCANCGAAAGCAUUAAAGUGCUCCCCCCUGGGGGAGUA
This 505-nucleotide ribosomal RNA is filed under the name uncultured bacterium. RNAcentral describes it as "bacterial SSU rRNA". It matches the Rfam family "Bacterial small subunit ribosomal RNA", at positions 386 to 882 of the family's 1533-position model. The record is from RNAcentral.